Oncorhynchus tshawytscha (Chinook salmon) is the source of this 537-nucleotide long non-coding RNA. The record is from Ensembl. NCBI's taxonomy places the organism in Eukaryota, Metazoa, Chordata, Actinopteri, Salmoniformes, Salmonidae.
GCUUGGUGUCCUCCGUCGCAAUUAUGGCGUAAUCUCCAGCUGCAGUAUUUUUCCGUUUGCUUCUGAUGAGAAGCCAACUGCCACCACUGAUAGAUUAUCGAAUAGAUAUGUGAAAAACACCUUGAGGUUUGAUUCUGUACAACGUUUGCCAUGUUUCUGACGAUAUUAUGGAGCUAAUUUGGAAAAAAGUUUGGCGUUGUAAGUGACUGCAUUUUCCGGUCUUUUUCUUAGCCAAACGUGAUGAACAAAACGGAGUUAUUUCAUCUACACAAAUAAUCUUUUUGGAAAAUAAUGAACAUUUGCUAUCUAACUAAGAGUCUCGUCAUUGAAAACAUCCGAAGUUCUUCAAAGUGUGUUUCCGGUGUCCUGGAACGCACCCUGUCUGGUUGCCGGGCGAAUUAGCUUGUUGGGAGAUCGAUGUUCACCCGCACCUGUAUCCCAUCAGUAAUCUGCACACCUGUCCUGAUCAUCACCUCUCCCCUUCAAAAGCUCUGACCUGACAUCCAUUCCCUGCCGGAUCGUUAGCCAUGAACAGUA